CCACAUGUUCUCUUUGACUAGCUUCAGAUUUCAGUCUAGCCGUCUCUAAUUAUUGUAGAGCUGCUUCGUGUUGUUGCAUUAAAGCAGCACCUUGUUGCUGAAGGGCAGAUGCGAUGGUCUCCAAAGCUCUUGCCAAGCUUGGCAUGUUAGUGGUUUCACGGUUGGUUNGUNUACGUGCCAUUUCUCUGUUAACACAGAGAAUUAUCGUUAUUAUGAUUUAUAAUAUGGGUCUGUAGGAUAAACCUACAAUUCUAAGGUCGUCUUAAGGACGAACCGCUCUGAUACCACUAAGUGUAACACCCNAAAUUCUUACACAAAUCAUUUAAACAUAAAAUAUCACACAACGUUUACAUUUGUCCAUGGGUAAUUAUUCAUGAUUACACACUGAAAUUUUACAUAAUUUUUUUUUUAUAUAUAUCAACUUCACACGUCAUUGAUUAACUCGAUCUCUACUCUACAAUUCUCCCGCCUCUAUCUUCACUGGUGUUGGUUCAGACGUCGCUCCCUCGUCUGCUCCCGUAUAACAUAAACGUUAUACGAUCAUCGCAAAAAUAUAAUUGUUUUGACACAAGCAAACAAGUAAGCGUGAGCUACCUUGUAACGAAAAAAUACAAUUUAAAAUACAUGGAAAUAUUACUUCACAUUAUUCAUUCAUAACAAUAUUCAAGUGAGAUGCAAUUUGUCAUAUUAGACUCUAAUAUCCGGAUAUCAAGUUGAUGGAAGUCUCGGGUGGUCAUACACUUGUGUGACCCCUCCUCCUCUUCACAAUAUAACAUUCGGUCAAAUUAUCUCAUCAUGUCACCCACAAGGUUAAUCCGUUAACGUCUAUGACCAUAUUUGGACAUAUACUAGGAUCUCCUACCACUCUCACCAAAUAACAUAUCCUUCUCUAGUUGAGGCUGGAUAAGUAUUAGAGUAUUAGGAAAACCACCAACAACAGGACCCUCAACAUCAACUCGUACACUAACAUCAUGUUGUAAUAGAGUCUCUCCCCGAGACUCAUUAAAUACCAAAUUCUCAUAUCAUAGCAUUCACCUUAUACAGAAAUCACACAAUAUAUAUAUCACAAAAGUUAUAANCAAAUAAAUUCAUCACAAAAAUAGAUCAAGAUAAAGACUAGUAAUAAAAUAAUUUCAAAUACAACAAAGUCACAUAAAUUUAAACAAAAUAACAUUUAUUCACAUAAAAUUCAAUAUACAAAAUUUAAUGGAAUUAAAUAAAAUACGGUAAACACUUGAGGAAAUAAGAAGUUGAAUUCGGCAUAGCCAAUUAGACAACUUCUCAUUCUACCAAAAAUUGCAAGGAAAUAAAUAAACAUAAAGGAAAUAAAUAAAAUUGCAAAAGAAAUAAAGUAAAUAAAUAAAUGGAUGUAUUGGGGAAAUAAGAGGUUAAAUUCGGCAGAGCCAAUUAGACAACUUCUUAUCCUUCCAAAAUUGCAAGAAAAUAAAGAGGCAUAGAGUAAAUAAAUAAAAUAAAAAUAUUGGNNNNNNNNNNNNNNNNNNNNNNNNNNNNNNNNNNNNNNNNNNNNNNNNNNNNNNAAAUAAAUAAAAUAAAAACAUUGGGGAUAUAAGAAGUAAAUUCUUAUCCUUCCAAAAUUACAAGAAAGUAAAUCGGCAUAAAGUAAAUAAAUAAAAUAAAAAUAUUGGGGAUAUAAGAAUUAAAUUCUUAUCCUUCCAAUAUUGCAAGAAAAUAAAUAGGCAUAAAGUAAAUAAAUAAAAUAAAAAUAUUGGGGAUAUAAGAAUUAAAUUCUUAUCCUUCCAAAAUUACAAGAAAAUAAAUGUAAAUAAAUAAAAACGUAAAGAAAUAAUAAUAUAUUGGGGAAAUAAGAAGUUGAAUUCGGCAGAGCCCGUUAGACAACUUCUCAUCCUUCCAUAAUCAUAACAACAACAAAUGAUAAUCAUAAAUUAACACAACAAAAUAGAAUCAAUUCACAUAAUUAAUAGAUANAGGUAUCAUCACAGAAGCAAUUUCACAGUCAACACAUAAAUAAAAAUAAUAAUUCCAUAUAUCAAACAAGAACAUANAAAAAAAACACAAGGAUAGNUCCCCUUACCUCUAUCCCAGACUUAAUCUCUUGCUCAGAACUUGUUUUAGAAUCUUCCAGAGUCUCCNCUUUCCAACAGAAUUUCCUCUCACUAUCUCUUUCUCUCAAAAUUCUAAGAGUUUUUGGUGUAAAUUUUAGCCAUCCCCCUUAUGGCUAUUUAUAGUUAAAAAAUUUUACUAUUCAAAUUAUUUUUUUAAUAUUAUUUAUUGUUUUAAUAUUAUUUUAUUAAUAUUUUAAUCACCAAUUGUAAAACCACUUGCAAAUCUUAUCCUCUCCUUAAUUAUGCAACUUAGAGAAUCUUAUCCUCUCAUUAUUAUUAUUAUUAUUAUUUUUUUUACUAUUCACUAUUCACUUUUUACUAUUCACUUUUACUAUUCAAAAAUAUUAUCCUAAUGUCACAUGUUUAUUAUUAUUAUUAUUAUUAUUAUUAUUAUUUUCUUUAUAUUUUCUACCUUUAAUAUCAUUACUACAAAAAUUUAUAUUAUUUAUGAAAAUUUUUCCUGGACUUUACA
This 2556-nucleotide long non-coding RNA is filed under the name Vigna radiata. Its description in RNAcentral is "long non-coding RNA (VRAD_LNC017041)". The record is from RNAcentral. Lineage: Eukaryota; Viridiplantae; Streptophyta; Magnoliopsida; Fabales; Fabaceae.